AUUGAACGCUGGCGGCAGGCCUAACACAUGCAAGUCGAGCGAGCGGCGGACGGGUGAGUAAUGCCUGGGAAUUGCCCAGUCGAGGGGGAUAACAGUUGGAAACGACUGCUAAUACCGCAUACGAUUGGAAUGCCGAUGUGGGAUUAGCUAGUUUGUGAGGUAAUGGCUCACAAAGGCGCCGAUCCCUAGCUGGUCUGAGAGGAUGAUCAGCCACACUGUAACUGAGACACGGUCCAGACUCCUACGGGAGGCAGCAUUGGUGAAUAUUCCACACUGGGGGCAACCCUGAUGCAGCCAUGCCGCGUGUGUGAAGAAGGCCUUCGGGUUGUAAAGCACUUUCAGCGAGGAGGCGGUACUCGCAGAAGAAGCACCGGCUAACUCCGUGCCAGCCGCCGCGGUAAUUC
This 404-nucleotide ribosomal RNA is filed under the name uncultured bacterium. Its description in RNAcentral is "partial 16S ribosomal RNA". It matches the Rfam family "Bacterial small subunit ribosomal RNA", at positions 30 to 526 of the family's 1533-position model. The record is from RNAcentral.